GUGUAGCAUGUGAUGUCUACAUUCAGUUU
Molecule: non-coding RNA, 29 nt
Filed under: Rattus norvegicus (Norway rat)
Lineage: Eukaryota; Metazoa; Chordata; Mammalia; Rodentia; Muridae
Source: RNAcentral